RNAcentral lists this ribosomal RNA (488 nucleotides) under Streptococcus anginosus. RNAcentral's name for it is "bacterial SSU rRNA". It matches the Rfam family "Bacterial small subunit ribosomal RNA", at positions 28 to 490 of the family's 1533-position model. Lineage: Bacteria; Bacillati; Bacillota; Bacilli; Lactobacillales; Streptococcaceae. The record is from RNAcentral.
GACGAACGCUGGCGGCGUGCCUAAUACAUGCAAGUAGGACGCACAGCCUAUACCGUAGCUUGCUACACCAUAGGCUGUGAGUUGCGAACGGGUGAGUAACGCGUAGGUAACCUGCCUAUUAGAGGGGGAUAACUAUUGGAAACGAUAGCUAAUACCGCAUAACAGUAUGUAACACAUGUUAGAUGCUUGAAAGAUGCAAUUGCAUCGCUAGUAGAUGGACCUGCGUUGUAUUAGCUAGUAGGUAGGGUAAUGUCCUACCUAGGCAACGAUACAUAGCCGACCUGAGAGGGUGAUCGGCCACACUGGGACUGAGACACGGCCCAGACUCCUACGGGAGGCAGCAGUAGGGAAUCUUCGGCAAUGGGGGGAACCCUGACCGAGCAACGCCGCGUGAGUGAAGAAGGUUUUCGGAUCGUAAAGCCCUGUUGUUAAGGAAGAACGAGUGUGAGAAUGGAAAGUUCAUACUGUGACGGUACUUAACCAAAAAA